GGAGAUGUUGUGGUUCAGUGUCAGGGCCUCUGCUUUGCACGUAGAAGGUCCAGGUUCAAUCCCCAGCAUCUCCC
Molecule: transfer RNA, 74 nt
Filed under: Sphaerodactylus townsendi
Lineage: Eukaryota; Metazoa; Chordata; Lepidosauria; Squamata; Sphaerodactylidae
Description: tRNA-Ala
Rfam family: tRNA
About the family: Transfer RNA (tRNA) molecules are approximately 80 nucleotides in length. Their secondary structure includes four short double-helical elements and three loops (D, anti-codon, and T loops). Further hydrogen bonds mediate the characteristic L-shaped molecular structure. tRNAs have two regions of fundamental functional importance: the anti-codon, which is responsible for specific mRNA codon recognition, and the 3' end, to which the tRNAs corresponding amino acid is attached (by aminoacyl-tRNA synthetases). tRNAs cope with the degeneracy of the genetic code in two manners: having more than one tRNA (with a specific anti-codon) for a particular amino acid; and 'wobble' base-pairing, i.e. permitting non-standard base-pairing at the 3rd anti-codon position.
Source: RNAcentral